UACGAAGGGUGCAAGCGUUACUCGGAAUUACUGGGCGUAAAGCGUGCGUAGGUGGUUUGUUAAGUCUGAUGUGAAAGCCCUGGGCUCAACCUGGGAAUUGCAUUGGAUACUGGCAGGCUAGAGUGCGGUAGAGGGUAGUGGAAUUCCCGGUGUAGCAGUGAAAUGCGUAGAGAUCGGGAGGAACAUCCGUGGCGAAGACGACUACCUGGACCAGCACUGACACUGAGGCACGAAAGCGUGGGGAGCAAACAGG
Molecule: ribosomal RNA, 253 nt
Filed under: uncultured bacterium
Lineage: Bacteria
Description: partial 16S ribosomal RNA
Rfam family: Bacterial small subunit ribosomal RNA
Source: RNAcentral